RNAcentral lists this ribosomal RNA (853 nucleotides) under Helicopsis striata. Its description in RNAcentral is "partial 16S ribosomal RNA". The record is from RNAcentral. Lineage: Eukaryota; Metazoa; Mollusca; Gastropoda; Stylommatophora; Geomitridae.
AUUAAUAUAAUUUUAAUAAAUAAUGGAUCACGAAGGAGGUUGAGCUAAAUAAUAUUUAUUAUUAGAUUAACACUAUAUAUGUUGCAUUAUAUAUACAUAAUUAUUAUUUAGGGGUGAUAGGCCUUUCAAAAUAUCCGAUAUCUUGAUGUUUAGGAAAUAUAUUUAGUAUAUAAUACAUUUUUAGAAUGUUAAGGUUCUAGAAGUAUACUAAUUAUUAUAAUUGUUUUGCAGAUUAUUUAACAAUACCUGCUUUGUAAUGUUAAUACUUAAUUAAAUGCUUUGUAUAAUUUACUAAAACGUAUGAAAAAAUAAUUAACAUAAUGUUACUGUUAAUAUUAGUAUUUAAUUAAAAGUAUUACAGGAACUCGGCAAAUCUGUUCUUCAACUGUUUAUCAAAAACAUAGCUAGAUGAUGUUAAUAUUUAGUGCUUUCUGCUCAAUGGGGAUAACUAAAUAGCCGCAGUACCCUGACUGUGCAAAGGUAGCAUAAUCAUUUGGCUUAUAAUUGAAGUCUGGCAUGAAUGAAUUAAUGGGGAACAUCUGUCUAUAAUAUUCUACUAGAAUUUAAUUAAUAAGUGAAAAUUCUUAUAAAUAAAUAAAAGACGAGAAGACCCUAGAAAUUUUAUUUAUUCUAGUAUAAUACUAUAUCAUUUUGUUGGGGCGACAGAAUAACAGAUAACUUAUUUUAUUUAAUUAGCAUUAUAUAUUAUGUAAAAUUAAAUUACUCUAGGGAUAACAGCAUAAUUUAUAAAAGUUUGUGACCUCGAUGUUGGACUAGGAAAUUUAAUAUUCAAAAGGUAUUAAAAUUUGCUCUGUUCGAGCAUUAACUCCUACAUGAUCUGAGUUCAGACCGG